UUUUUUUGUUAUAUGUAUAGAUU
Molecule: small nuclear RNA, 23 nt
Filed under: Arabidopsis thaliana (thale cress)
Lineage: Eukaryota; Viridiplantae; Streptophyta; Magnoliopsida; Brassicales; Brassicaceae
Description: snRNA_19096
Source: RNAcentral